GUUCACUCCACUGCCUCUAUCCAUUGAGUACUGUAUCGAUAUUGUUUUUUAAGAUUAAUAUAUUUCAGGUAUUUAAUACGAAAUGUGGAAGGGAAUGCUGGAGUAAAAUAUCCCCUCUCCCCUCCGCCCGCCCACCCGCCCGCCCGCUCGCCCGCUCGCCCGCUCCUGUGGUUUUUCUGAGCGUGCGGGCGCCGGGAGGGGAUGCUGAGGCUGAUGGAGCUGCCUCCAGGGCUAGGGCCACUCACCGGAGGAGGGCGGGGCCUGCACUUGAAGUCAGGCCGCACCUGUCUGUUUUUGGAAGGGUAGCCGACAAAUCCUUCCAGAGGGAAAGUUCUUUGUUUAAGUGUUGUACUUGAAAAGGUCAAUCUUCAGGGCUUCCUGUUUGAAGUCAAGUCAGAGGUAAACCGGUCAGUUACAGAAGCAGGAUUUCUAGGAUUUCUAACUCCAGCUGUUCCCAUACUGUCUAGUUUAAAUUAUGGCUGUUAAGGCCGGGCGGGUGACUCAGGCAGGUAAUCCCAGAACUUUGGGAGGCCCAGACAGAAGGAUCGCUUGAGGUCAGGAAUUUGAGACCUGGCCAACAUGGUGAAACCCUGUCUCUACUAAAAAAAAAAAAAAAAAAAAAAAAAAAAAAAAAAAAAUGAGUCGGGUGUGGUGGUGUGCACCUGUAGUCCCAGCUACUCAGGAGUUCUGAGAUGGAAAGAUUGCUUGAACCCAGGAGGCAGAGGCUGCAGUGAGCUGAGAUCGCGACAUUGCACUCUAGCCUGGGUGACAGAGUGAGAUUCCAUCUCAAAAUAAAUAAAUAAAUAUUAAUACAUUAUGGCUAUUAAGGCUGGGCACGGUGGCUCAUGCCUGCAAUCCUGGCACUUUGGGAGGCUGAGGGGGGAAGAUCACUUGAGCCCAGGAGUUCAAGACCAGCUUGGGCAACAUAGCAAGGACCUCAUCUCUACAAAAAAUAAAAAGGACGUGGUGGUGCACAUCUGUAAACCCAGCUACUCAGGAGGCUGAGGAGGGAGGAUCACUUGAGCCCAGGAGUUCAAGAUCAGUUUGGACCACAUAGCGAGACCCUGUGUCUACAAAAAAUAAGAAAAUCAGCCGGACAUGAUGGUGCACACCUGUAAUCCCAGCUACUCGGGAGGCUGAGGCAGGAGGAUCGCUGGAGCCCAGGAGUUCAAGGCUGCAGUGACCUAUGAUCGUGCCACUGCACUCCAGCCUGGGCAGCAAAAGGGUGUAGGAGUUGUGUUCCAAGUUUGUUCCUGCAAACCCUCCGAUGAGGCCAGCUGCAUUCAUCGGGGCCUGGAUGGCCGCACCUCUCUCUCCCCGCCCUGUCUCCUGCACUCAGUAGAGACGGAGUUUCACCAUGUUAGCCAGGAUGCUCUGGAUCUCCUGACCUCGUGAUCCACCCACCUCGGCCUCCCAAACUGCUGGGAUUACAGGCAUGAGACACCACGCCCCGCCGAGUCCCUGCUUUUAAUUCUUUGGGGCAGGGAUCCCCAACCCCCUGGUGAUGGACCAAUACUGGCCUGCGGCCCCUUAGGAACUGGACUGCACAGCAGGAGGUGAGCGGCAGAUGGCAUGGGAAAGUAGCACACAGUCGGGACUCUGCAGCCGAGUUUGCCUCCUUGAAUGCACACAUAACACAGGAACAAAGACAGAGCUGCUUCCCUCCUGUUGGGUCUCUGGCGGACAGUCAGGUAUGCUGAGGGAGACACUGUUCUCAAACUCCAGGCCAGGGUGGUUUCCGGAGGGUCCACCGGUGGUCUCAUCUCUUCUCUCUCAAACCAUGGAUGGUGCCUUUUAAAGAAAAUGACACCGGCCAGGUGCGGUGGCUCAUGGCUGUAAUCCCAGCACUUUGGGAGGCCGAGGCGGGUGGAUCACCUGAGGUCGGAAGUUCAACACCAGCCUGGCCAACAUGGUGAAACCCCGUCUCUAUUAAAAAUACAAAAAUUAGGCCGGGCGCGGUGGCUCACGCCUGUAAUCCCAGCACUUUGGGAGGCCGAGGCGGGCGGAU
This 2008-nucleotide long non-coding RNA is filed under the name Homo sapiens (human). RNAcentral's name for it is "HSALNT0338977". The record is from RNAcentral. Lineage: Eukaryota; Metazoa; Chordata; Mammalia; Primates; Hominidae.